Molecule: ribosomal RNA, 397 nt
Filed under: uncultured bacterium
Lineage: Bacteria
Description: bacterial SSU rRNA
Rfam family: Bacterial small subunit ribosomal RNA
Source: RNAcentral
GACGAACGCUGGCGGCGUGCUUAACACAUGCAAGUCGAGCGAGGUCCAACCGGUGGCAACACCGGGGAAGACCUAGCGGCGAACGGGUGAGUAACACGUGAGAAACCUGCCCCGAAGUUCGGGAUAACCCGGGGAAACCCGAGCUAAUACCGGAUACCCACGAUUGGUCGCAUGGCCGAUCGUGGAAAGAACUUCGCUUCGGGAGGGUCUCGCGGCCUAUCAGCUUGUUGGUGGGGUAACGGCCCACCAAGGCAUCGACGGGUAGCUGGUCUGAGAGGACGAUCAGCCACACUGGGACUGAGACACGGCCCAGACUCCUACGGGAGGCAGCAGUGGGGAAUCUUGCGCAAUGGGCGAAAGCCUGACGCAGCAAACGCCGCGUGCGGGAUGAAGGCCU